RNAcentral lists this ribosomal RNA (253 nucleotides) under uncultured bacterium. RNAcentral's name for it is "partial 16S ribosomal RNA". It matches the Rfam family "Bacterial small subunit ribosomal RNA", at positions 524 to 776 of the family's 1533-position model. The record is from RNAcentral.
GACGGAGGAUGCAAGUGUUAUCCGGAAUCACUGGGCGUAAAGCGUCUGUAGGUGGUCAAAUAAGUCAACUGUUAAAUCUUGAGGCUCAACCUCAAAAUCGCAGUCGAAACUAUUAGACUAGAGUAUAGUAGGGGUAAAGGGAAUUUCCAGUGGAGCGGUGAAAUGCGUAGAGAUUGGAAAGAACACCGAUGGCGAAGGCACUUUACUGGGCUAUUACUAACACUGAGAGACGAAAGCUAGGGGAGCGAAAGGG